Molecule: long non-coding RNA, 627 nt
Organism: Rhinopithecus roxellana (golden snub-nosed monkey)
Lineage: Eukaryota; Metazoa; Chordata; Mammalia; Primates; Cercopithecidae
Exons: 4
Source: RefSeq, a predicted model, not a curated record
GGGGUGGGCAGCUCUGCUAGGUGAGCAGAAAGCUCAGGCUGGCGGGGAUGGCAAAGGAGCUGCUCUCGGACCCCCCAUCCCGUGUGUGGGGAAUGGGAAUGGCAGGACUGUAGUUGAGCUUUGGGAGCCCGAGAAGGAAGGACACUGGGGCUGGGCUGAUCCAGGACAGCUUCCUGGAGGAGGUGGGAUUUAAACUGGUCAGUGAGAAUUUGCAUUUGCUUCAGCUGGGCACCUGAAGGCAUCAGUAAUCUGGUGCCUUCGACCAGAUUCACCUCCGACCACAUUCAGGCUCCAUGAAACCCUUCUGGGUGUGAGGCACAGAGCUCAACACGCUGCUGGUCCUUAAAAAAAGAACCACAUGAGGGCAAUCAUGAGAGGACAGUGGUGCUAUGUGAAGAAGAAAUGAAACUCACCCAUAAUAAAGGAGAUGAAAGUCCUAGUUCUUAGAUGGCCUCAAAGUUUAGAAAACUUCACGCGUACUCAGAGAGAAGAGAGGGGCUGGGUGGGGCUGCAGAGUCCCCUCACGGCCUGUUUUCAUUGAAUAACAUCUUAUAUUUCUAUGUGGUAAUGUCACUGUUAACACGCACUUCUCAUUGUUAGAAAUAAAAACGACUCAAAGAUGUGAAA